Molecule: transfer RNA, 65 nt
Filed under: Allopsontus sp. 2 JZ-2014
Lineage: Eukaryota; Metazoa; Arthropoda; Insecta; Archaeognatha; Machilidae
Description: tRNA-Cys
Source: RNAcentral
GGUUUUAUGGUGUAUGUAACAUAGUAGACUGCAAUUCUGCUGAAAUUAUUAAUUAAUUAAAACCU